CCUACGGGAGGCAGCAGUAAGGAAUAUUGGACAAUGCUCGCAAGAGUGAUCCAGCCAUGCCGCGUGCAGGAAGACGGCCCUAUGGGUUGUAAACUGCUUUUGAACUAGAGAAAACCCUCCUACGUGUAGGAGGCUGAUAGUAUAGUUAGAAUAAGCAUCGGCUAACUUCGUGCCAGCAGCCGCGGUAAGACGAAGGAUGCAAGCGUUAUCCGGAUUCAUUGGGUUUAAAGGGAGCGUAGGUGGACUGAUAAGUCAGUGGUGAAAUCUCUCGGCUUAACCGAGAAAUUGCCAUUGAUACUGUUGGUCUUGAGUACAGUUGCUGUGGGCGGAAUAUGACAUGUAGUGGUGAAAUACAUAGAGAUGUCAUAGAACACCGAUUGCGAAGGCAGCUCACAAAGCUGUAACUGACACUGAGGCUCGAAAGUGCGGGGAUCAAACAGGAUUAGAUACCCUGGUAGUCCGCACCGUAAACGAUGAUUACUCGCUGCUGGGAGGUAACUUUCAGUGGCUUAGCGAAAGCGAUAAGUAAUCCACCUGGGGAGUACGCCGGCAACGGUGAAACGUCAAAGGAAUUAGACGG
RNAcentral lists this ribosomal RNA (580 nucleotides) under uncultured bacterium. RNAcentral describes it as "bacterial SSU rRNA". It matches the Rfam family "Bacterial small subunit ribosomal RNA", at positions 338 to 917 of the family's 1533-position model. The record is from RNAcentral.